RNAcentral lists this ribosomal RNA (1719 nucleotides) under Salmonella enterica. RNAcentral's name for it is "partial 23S ribosomal RNA". It matches the Rfam family "Bacterial large subunit ribosomal RNA", at positions 1241 to 2925 of the family's 2925-position model. Lineage: Bacteria; Pseudomonadati; Pseudomonadota; Gammaproteobacteria; Enterobacterales; Enterobacteriaceae. The record is from RNAcentral.
CUGUAAGCCUGCGAAGGUGGCCUGUGAGGGUUGCUGGAGGUAUCAGAAGUGCGAAUGCUGACAUAAGUAACGAUAAAGCGGGUGAAAAGCCCGCUCGCCGGAAGACCAAGGGUUCCUGUCCAACGUUAAUCGGGGCAGGGUGAGUCGACCCCUAAGGCGAGGCCGAAAGGCGUAGUCGAUGGGAAACGGGUUAAUAUUCCCGUACUUGGUGUUACUGCGAAGGGGGGACGGAGAAGGCUAUGUUGGCCGGGCGACGGUUGUCCCGGUUUAAGCGUGUAGGUGUGUGUUCCAGGUAAAUCCGGUUCACUUUAACACUGAGGCGUGAUGACGAGGCACUACGGUGCUGAAGCAACAAAUGCCCUGCUUCCAGGAAAAGCCUCUAAGCAUCAGGUAACAUCAAAUCGUACCCCAAACCGACACAGGUGGUCAGGUAGAGAAUACCAAGGCGCUUGAGAGAACUCGGGUGAAGGAACUAGGCAAAAUGGUGCCGUAACUUCGGGAGAAGGCACGCUGACACGUAGGUGAAGUGAUUUACUCAUGGAGCUGAAGUCAGUCGAAGAUACCAGCUGGCUGCAACUGUUUAUUAAAAACACAGCACUGUGCAAACACGAAAGUGGACGUAUACGGUGUGACGCCUGCCCGGUGCCGGAAGGUUAAUUGAUGGGGUCAGCGCAAGCGAAGCUCCUGAUCGAAGCCCCGGUAAACGGCGGCCGUAACUAUAACGGUCCUAAGGUAGCGAAAUUCCUUGUCGGGUAAGUUCCGACCUGCACGAAUGGCGUAAUGAUGGCCAGGCUGUCUCCACCCGAGACUCAGUGAAAUUGAACUCGCUGUGAAGAUGCAGUGUACCCGCGGCAAGACGGAAAGACCCCGUGAACCUUUACUAUAGCUUGACACUGAACAUUGAGCCUUGAUGUGUAGGAUAGGUGGGAGGCUUUGAAGUGUGGACGCCAGUCUGCAUGGAGCCGGCCUUGAAAUACCACCCUUUAAUGUUUGAUGUUCUAACGUGGACCCGUGAUCCGGGUUGCGGACAGUGUCUGGUGGGUAGUUUGACUGGGGCGGUCUCCUCCUAAAGAGUAACGGAGGAGCACGAAGGUUGGCUAAUCCUGGUCGGACAUCAGGAGGUUAGUGCAAUGGCAUAAGCCAGCUUGACUGCGAGCGUGACGGCGCGAGCAGGUGCGAAAGCAGGUCAUAGUGAUCCGGUGGUUCUGAAUGGAAGGGCCAUCGCUCAACGGAUAAAAGGUACUCCGGGGAUAACAGGCUGAUACCGCCCAAGAGUUCAUAUCGACGGCGGUGUUUGGCACCUCGAUGUCGGCUCAUCACAUCCUGGGGCUGAAGUAGGUCCCAAGGGUAUGGCUGUUCGCCAUUUAAAGUGGUACGCGAGCUGGGUUUAGAACGUCGUGAGACAGUUCGGUCCCUAUCUGCCGUGGGCGCUGGAGAACUGAGGGGGGCUGCUCCUAGUACGAGAGGACCGGAGUGGACGCAUCACUGGUGUUCGGGUUGUCAUGCCAAUGGCACUGCCCGGUAGCUAAAUGCGGAAGAGAUAAGUGCUGAAAGCAUCUAAGCACGAAACUUGCCCCGAGAUGAGUUCUCCCUGAGACUUUAGGUCUCCUGAAGGAACGUUGAAGACGACGACGUUGAUAGGCCGGGUGUGUAAGCGCAGCGAUGCGUUGAGCUAACCGGUACUAAUGAACCGUGAGGCUUAACCUUACAACGCCGAAG